CCAACCGGGAUUCCCCAAGUAAGGGCGACUGAAAGGGGACCAGCCCAGCGCAUAACCUCGCGGUCCUGCACGGCCGUCGAGGGGUGUUGCGUUUCGGUGGAUCCGUACCGCUCGAGCUGCUGACCGCCUAAGUCAUUGCUUGAAUGCAGCCCCGAGGAGGGUGGUAGGCCCGUGUGGCGGCGCCUGUAAAAAGGUUUUAGGCAGCUUGGGCGGAGGGGUCUUUACCGUAGAGUCGGGUUGCUUAGUACUGCAGCCCUAAGUAGGUGGUAAACUCCAUCUAAGGCUAAAUACCACCACGAGUCCGAUAUUUGACAAGUACCGUGAGGGAAAGCUGAAAAGGACUCUGAAGAGAGAGUUCAAGAGGACGUGAAACCAUUAGAAGCUCAAACGGGUGGAACCGUGAAGGUCGAAAGAGGGGAUUCAGCUGGCGGGGCGUGGGCGGCAGCGACGGUUCAAGUUGCAUUUCAGUGAGAGGACCCGGCGAUGGAGUUAGUUGCCGCGGCCCCGUCGCUGUCGUGCCGUGACCCGCGGGCUUAUUUCUCCCUCGAGUAGAGUUGGUCGCGACCCGCUGCUUAGGCUCCGAGGGGCCGUCCGGGACUGGUAGCCCGCGCCUUGGCGCGGGUGAUGACCCGGCACGGUGCUGACCGGGCCCGAGCGGCGGUCACUGCAAGGAGGCCGCGGAGAGAAGAAUGCGGCCUCUCGCGACUUGAGAGUGAUUGG
RNAcentral lists this ribosomal RNA (720 nucleotides) under Macrobrachium intermedium. RNAcentral's name for it is "eukaryotic LSU rRNA". It matches the Rfam family "Eukaryotic large subunit ribosomal RNA", at positions 65 to 510 of the family's 3401-position model. The record is from RNAcentral. Lineage: Eukaryota; Metazoa; Arthropoda; Malacostraca; Decapoda; Palaemonidae.